GAUGGCCCGGCUCAGGCCCAGGGCGUCUGCAGUCCCCGAACUCAUGUUCUCCACCAGCCGAUGCUUCACCUUUUUCAGCACUGGGCCAGGAAAAGAACUGGUGAGGUGGCGUUCAUGGCAGGGCCCCCAGGACAUGGGCUUACACUUUCUAUAAAGAACAUGAAGAAAGAACAGUUUCAGAGAUGAAAUAAUGGAAGUAUCUGUUUCUUGCUACCCUCCAGAAUCACACUAAGUGGCAAAGACUGCAAUAAUGAGAGAUGUCUGUCUUUGGGAGAUGGAGCAGUGGGAACCCAAGAGUCUGCAGAGAGUUGAUGAGAGAGAUGUCAUCUUUGUUGGAAACUGCCAAAAGAUCCGGAAGUGGACAUCUGCUGGAAAAACAAACCAAACAAAC
Molecule: long non-coding RNA, 391 nt
Organism: Erinaceus europaeus (western European hedgehog)
Lineage: Eukaryota; Metazoa; Chordata; Mammalia; Eulipotyphla; Erinaceidae
Exons: 2
Source: RefSeq, a predicted model, not a curated record